Molecule: long non-coding RNA, 816 nt
Filed under: Nicotiana benthamiana
Lineage: Eukaryota; Viridiplantae; Streptophyta; Magnoliopsida; Solanales; Solanaceae
Description: long non-coding RNA (NBEN_LNC042348)
Source: RNAcentral
GUUGUUCCUGAUACACUCUUUGUGAAUUACAUUCAAUAACUAAGAACAAACCAUUGCCCCCUUUAUUAAUGAACGAGGCUAACUACUGUGGAAAUCUUCAAAGCAAAUGCAAAUGCAAAUGCAAAUCCAAUCAUAUUAAUUCAUAAUCACACUCCUUUCGACUGAAACCAAAUUUGAAUAAGAUGAAAAACGAAGCAAUUGCAACCAUAAGCACCGGAAGAACACCCACCUUCGAACAUAUAGAAUGCCAGCAUAGAAAAUUCAUCUAAAUACUCUUAGAUUUAACAUAUCUAAGGAAUUACAGAACAUCCCAAAACUGAAUAAGAGAAAACAUUAUCAGAUAGAAGAUAGAAUAGUAGAAGAUUCAGCAUUUACACAGUACAAACCGUGUAUGAAUUUCUGGCCGUGAUUUACAAAUUUGAUAACACAAAAAAACGAUUUCAAAACUAAUCAUAACUAACUUUAUUAAUUUGGCGAACCACUCAUUUCUUCUACACAUAUAUAUUUCACAUCCAAUUUAUAGUUCAAAUAAGAGUAUCUAGUUAUGCAAGAACUGAUUUAAAGGGCCAAAUGAAGGCUGAUAAAGAAAGUUGAAACUCAACAACCAGCACAGUCCAGCAGAAACAACAGCAGUUUUUCCUAAAGACCCAGAUUUUGGGAGCUCUUUUCCUUUUCAGAUCUUUUUUUUGGUUUUGUUGGAUUUUUGAUUUCUAAAAGCUUCUUCUUACAUCUAUUUCAUAUGUGCGUGCACGUGAAGUGUAUGAGCAUGAUGUAUAGAUGAGAAUGGGGAAGUAGGAGUGCAAGAAAUGUGGGGNN